RNAcentral lists this unclassified non-coding RNA (380 nucleotides) under soil metagenome. Its description in RNAcentral is "partial contains 5.8S ribosomal RNA, internal transcribed spacer 2, and large subunit ribosomal RNA". The stretch from base 1 to 120 matches the Rfam family "5.8S ribosomal RNA", at positions 35 to 154 of the family's 154-position model. The record is from RNAcentral.
GAUGAAGAACGUAGCGAAAUGCGAUAAGUAAUGUGAAUUGCAGAAUUCAGUGAAUCAUCGAAUCUUUGAACGCACCUUGCACCCUUUGGCAUUCUGAAGGGUAUGCUCGUUUGAGUGUCAUUGUACUCUCACACUCCCGAUCUUUGCAUUGGGAGCAGUGGACUUGGGUUUGCUGCUUCACCGUCGCUUACCUCAAAUAGGUUAGUGCAACUCUUGGUUGGACAUAGUACGGCGUGAUAAGUGUUCUUCGCCGGUGCCUCGCAAAGAGGGUGGCCGAUCGGGAUGUUGUGCUCCAAACCGUCUUCGGACAAUCUCUGACGACUUGACCUCAAAUCGAGUUAGACUACCCGCUGAACUUAAGCAUAUCAAUAAGCGGAGGA